AAUGGAGCUGGGGAGGAAUUUGUUUGGCAAAAUGCAAUAAAUUCACUUUAGUGGGCAAUAAUCAAAUAUUCUCUGAGUGAGAACCACUGCCCUCAUCCUGAUUGCCUUUACUCAGUGAGUAAAUUUCCCUUACUCAGGGAGCAAUAACCAAAUCCCCUCUGAGGGCACUUGGUGUAAAUCCUGAUUUCCUUUACUCAGUGAGUAAAUUUCCCUUACUCAGGGAGCAAUAACCAAAUCCCCUCUGAGGGCACUUGGUGUAAAUCCUGAUUUCCUUUACUCAGAGUGAUUUACAAAUUCACUGGCACAGCUGUGGAAAUUUGGGUUCCCCUGGCUGAGGUGACAAAACUCAGGUGUCCCACUCUGGUAAAAGAUUUACACAGCAAUAAUUUUUAUUUUUUUAAAUUGGAGGUCACCUCACCAUGGAAAUAACCAAAGCAGGGAGGCAGCACAGCCCCGGGCCAGGCACAGCCCCAGCCCUGGCACCAGCUGCAUUUUGGGGGGAAAACCUGGGAAAAGGAAGGGGAGCAGGAAAUCCAGGCUCAGAUGGUCCUGGGAAGUCUCUUUAAAUAGAGCUGGGGAUGAAUUUGUUUGGCAAAAUGCAAUAAAUUCACUUUAGUGGGCAAUAAUCAAAUGUUCUCUGAGUGAGAACCACUGCCCUCAUCCUGAUUUCCUUCACCCAGGGAGCAAUAACCAAAUCCCCUCUGAGGGCACUUGGUGUAAAUCCUGAUUUCCUUUACUCAGUGAGUAAAUUUCCUUUACUCAGAGUGAUUUACAAGUUCACUGGCACAGCUGUGGAAAUUUGGGUUCCCCAACUCAGGUGCCCCACUCUGGUAAAUUAUUUACACAACAGUAUUUUAAUUUAUUUAUUUAUUAAAUUCCGUUUAAAAAUUUAAAUUCUGUUUGCAAUAUUUAACUUUCAAAUACACCUCAUCAUGGAAAUAACCAAACCUUCCUGAGGGCAGGCAGGGAUUUGCAUUCCUGGCACUCAGCUGUACUGAUAUUUUUCUAGGAAGUUGUUCCUGGCUGAUCUAAUUCUUUUUUUUUUCCCCUCACACUGAACUAGAAUAUUAAUUUCAGUUGAAAACCUUAAAUCUGAGUUCACAGCAUUAAGGUGUGAACUCAGAUUUAAGGUUUUCAACUGAAAACCUUAAAUUUAGGUUUUAUUAUUGUGUUUUAUUGUUGGAUUUUAGGACAGCUCUGAAUGAGCAGUUCCAUUUCCUGCAUUUUCUCUCUCAGUGCUGCUCCAAGACUGGAAUAUUUUCCUUGCAGGAAGAGACGAGACCUAAACCCAGGAGUGCACCAGCUGCAGCUGGGUUUUCCAGAUAAGAAAAGAAACUGAGAGAUGUAAAAAAAGAACCAGUCCAUGUUUAUCAAGUGGAAUAACUUGGCUAACUGCUCAGCUCCAGGCUGGAAAGAAAAAGUGGAAAUAACCUCACACAGAGAACCAGAGGUUAGUGCAAAAAUGUCCUUUUCACCCAUCAGGGCAGGCUGAGCAGCUUGUGCUGCACAAAGAGCUCCUGGGUGUUGCUGUGAGGUGGGAAUAAAUUAAAAAAAAAUCCCUUAGCAGCUCAUCUUAACGUGGAUUUUUGUUUUUCUGACUUUAGAGAUGUAAGGAAAGAACUGAGAAAUGUGAAAAAAGAAGUGGUCCACAUUUAUAAAGUGGGAUAGUCUGACCAGCUGCUCAGCUCUGGGGUGCAAAGAAAAAGUGGAAAUAGCCAUGGACAGAGACACAGUCCAACGGACAGAGAACCAGAGGGUUGUGCUUGUGCAAAAAUGUCAUUUCCACCCCAGCACUGCUGUCAGGGCAGGUUGAGCAGCUUGUGCUACAUGAAGAGCUGGGAAUAAAAACACCCAAAUCCCUUA
Serinus canaria (Common canary) is the source of this 1863-nucleotide long non-coding RNA. RefSeq lists it as uncharacterized. The transcript has 2 exons. NCBI's taxonomy places the organism in Eukaryota, Metazoa, Chordata, Aves, Passeriformes, Fringillidae. The record is from RefSeq and is a predicted model, not a curated record.